GUCUUGACCCACAGGUUGAGAACCGCUGCUCUACACCCUCGCUGUGCAUAGAGCAGGGCCUUGGUUAUGCCUUCCCACUUCCCAGUGUGGGCAGGGAAUGAGGCCUCCUACUGCCCUCGGGUUAGCUGCCCUGCAGUGGGGCAGAGGCCUCGCGCCCUGGGGAUGGGUUCCCACUCCACCAUGGCCACCGUGAGCCAAGCCUUUAGUCACUGCAACAGUGCAGGCAAGAGUCCGAAAUGGUGCCCGCUCCCUCGAGUUUCUUUCGUCACCUGAUGGAACAGCAGGGGAGGGCAGGUGACAGGCAAGGGGUGGGGAGAAUUGUCUCCCUGCGCAGAAGCCCUAAACUAAAGCUUUUAUCUCUUUAAGGGAGGGAGGGAGGGCGGGAGAGGGAGGAGGAAUUGCGGGAACAGGAAAAGUGCUGAGCCACAGGGAAGGAAAGUGGUGAGGUGGCCUGUGCGAGCUUCUGGACUGGGAAUGCAGACCAGAUGAGAUGGGCAUGAGCGCAGCUGCCAGGGGCCCGGGUUCUUGUUCGUGCCCCAGGUUCCUGGCGCAGCCUGGUGGCAAAGCCUUCUGAUUGCCUAUGGUCGGCUCAGCAGGAUCCCAGGAUCCAGGAUGUAGGUCGGAGCUGGACUCCUGAUAUACAUUUGUUGGCUAUGCCUUUAAUUAAAACCAAAAGAAAAAACUUUAUUCAUUUCACUCUGUGGCACACAGCAUCGCUGGCUCCCAGCGCCACUCUGGUACACGCUACAAAAGGUUUGCUUGCUUAUGCCGAGUGAUUGUAUUUUCCCUCCAGCCACCCAUGGGACACGGUCAUCAAGGCUGCUAUGAGGAAGUACCCGAAUCCGAUGAAUCCCUGUGUGGUGGGAGUCGAUGUGCUGGAGCGCAGUGUGGACCGCUGCGGCCGGCUUCACAGCCACCGCCUCCUCAGCACCGAGUGGGGGCUGCCUGCCCUCGUGAAAGCGAUUUUGGGAACCAGUAGGACUUUAACAUACAUCAGAGAACAUUCUGUUGUGGAUCCAGUGGAAAAGAAAAUGGAACUUUGUUCCACCAAUAUCACACUCACAAACUUUGUGUCGGUGAACGAGAGGUUGGUGUACACACCCCAUCCGAAGAACCCUGACAUGACGGUGCUCACACAGGAAGCCAUCAUCACCGUGAAGGGGAUCAGCCUUGGUAGCUACCUGGAAGGCUUAAUGGCCAACACAAUAUCAUCCAACGCAAAGAAGGCUUGCAGCUGCCGCUGCAGGAGGCAGAGCUCUUACACCAUGUUGAAACCCUUCUGUGUUGCUCCAGGGGUGGGCUGCUAUUGAGUGGAUAAUUGAAAAUCCUGAAAGCGCUGUGAGCUAACGGGGCCUGCACCUGCGCCUCAUGAACAAUGCCCAAAAAAUCAAAGAGGAAAUAAAGAAAGGAAGAAAGAAGCAAGUCCUGAAUACGAUUCAAGGGCCCAGUCUGGGAGAGGUGUGGAAUCUGCUGGAAUCCGCCUCCUGCCUGCUCGCAGCCUCCUCCAGGCUCCUCCGUGGUGACCCCAGGACAGGAAGCUCGGCCAAGGUGCAGAAGGAGCUCCUCUGUUGCAGAGUGAGACCCAGAGGAAGACGACCUCUCACAGGAGGAGGACAGGGGCCACGAAGCUGCCACUUCGUCAUCCUGAUUGCCGAGCAGGGUCCUGGGAGCCGGCCCUGCCCACAGCCUAGCCGCCCCCAUGCCAGCGUUUAGUCAGACUGUUCUUGUGCCUUUGUCUAUUUUCUCCUUAGCAACAGCUCCCGGCUCUUUCUUGCCAGUUCUUGGGAAAGCACUAAAUAGCUUUUCUCUUUUCAGAUUGCUGCCCGUUUCCCUCCCCUGCCUCUUAAAUAACAGUCUUCACCACCAGUCCCUUUACACAUAGCUGGUUACCAUCUGCCGUUUCAGAUGGUGUUGCCAUGGACCCCUCUCUUCCCCUCAUCACUGCGCAAAUCUGCACACGCUAGAGCAGGGGCGUCCCCCCCGCCCCCAACGGUGACAUGUGUGGUUGACAGGACCGUGAGCUCUCCAAUCAGAGGCAGAACUGGUCAGGAGAGCAAAGCUCUGUCCUGGGCCUGCACCUCGUCUGUCCUGCCAUCUGGGACCAGUGACCCCAAGUGCUGAAGGCCAGGGUCCCUUCUCCGCAUUCAGACCUGUCCUCAUGGAGAGCCACUGCUAUCCUGUUAGCUUGACGGCGCUUCCCAAAUUGGGAGUUUUCAUUUUCCCGUUUUCAAAAGUAAAAUCUCUUUCAAUAUCUUUCAAAUUAUAAAACCUUUAGAGAAGGCCUCCUCCAUAAAGGAUGGGUAGAACCUGUGUUUCACUGUUUUAUUAGGUAUUGCUUUUUGUUUGAUAAUAGUACUUCCAAUCCAACAUGAAAUUACUCAUUUUUAUUUUAUUAGACUAUUUUAUGCAUAAAGCUUAAGGCAAAAUAGAGUUUUUAUGUCAAAAACAAACACUCUUACCCCUUUUGCACUGCAAGGUUUGCCCCUUCUGAGAGGACUCUGAACUCUUGGCUAUUUCUGCCAUUUACUGUUAGAUUUCUAAAUAAAUAGGCAUAUUCUGCUUUUUUCUU
This is an RNA transcript of Myotis brandtii (Brandt's bat), 2569 nucleotides long. It is a transcript of the gene named PRELI domain containing 3A, with no coding region annotated. The record is from RefSeq and is a predicted model, not a curated record. Lineage: Eukaryota; Metazoa; Chordata; Mammalia; Chiroptera; Vespertilionidae. The transcript is spliced from 6 exons.